Molecule: ribosomal RNA, 270 nt
Filed under: uncultured bacterium
Lineage: Bacteria
Description: partial 16S ribosomal RNA
Rfam family: Bacterial small subunit ribosomal RNA
Source: RNAcentral
CCGGCGACCGGCGCACGGGUGAGUAACACGUAUGAAACCUGCCCGUAGCAGGGGGAUAAGCGGAAGAAAUUCCGUCUAAUACCGCGUAACAACCCAUGGAGGCAUCUCUGUGGGUUUAAAGGAAGCGAUUCCGGCUACGGAUGGUCAUGCGUCGCAUUAGCUUGUUGGCGGGGUAACGGCCCACCAAGGCGACGAUGCGUAGGGGUUCUGAGAGGAAGGUCCCCCACACUGGUACUGAGACACGGACCAGACUCCUACGGGAGGCAGCAG